CGCACCUUGCGCUCCUUGGUAUUCCGAGGAGCAUGCCUGUUUGAGUGUCAUGAAAGUUUAUCGGAGCCCCCCUUUUUCCUCUGCGAAGGAGGGGGUGACCGGAAUUGGACGCGUUGCCUGGUGGGGGGUCGGUCUUCCCUCUCUCCCUCCUGGCUCGUCCGAAAUGCAUCGGCUGGAUCGGGGCGUGCGUGCCUUUGGUUCCCACUCGGCGUGAUAAUCCACCCGUCGAGGACGUCCCUGCGGACGGCCAAAGGCGCCCACCGGCGAAAAACACCCCUCUUUGACGAUCUGACCUCAAAUCAGGUAGGACUACCCGCUGAACUUAA
This 326-nucleotide unclassified non-coding RNA is filed under the name Filobasidium floriforme. RNAcentral describes it as "partial contains 5.8S ribosomal RNA, internal transcribed spacer 2, and large subunit ribosomal RNA". Lineage: Eukaryota; Fungi; Basidiomycota; Tremellomycetes; Filobasidiales; Filobasidiaceae. The record is from RNAcentral.